CCAUAGGCGAUGAUAAGAAGAGUAGCUGAGAAAUAGUAUCACAGAGAGUCCUCGGGCGCUGAGAAGAGGAUAUACGAAGGUUUAGUGAAGAUGGUCUUGGAGUUGCACUUCCGAAAUGUAGGGGGUGCCGGGAUGUCCCGUUAUAGACAUAGAGUAUGUUGGUACUCGAUGAGGUAUGUAUUGUGAAGUACAUAUAAACUAAGGUGGUAACACGAGAUUAUAUAUCCCGUCCUUACA
Molecule: non-coding RNA, 237 nt
Filed under: Solobacterium moorei
Lineage: Bacteria; Bacillati; Bacillota; Erysipelotrichia; Erysipelotrichales; Erysipelotrichaceae
Description: T-box sequence
Rfam family: T-box leader
About the family: Uncharged tRNA acts as the effector for transcription antitermination of genes in the T-box leader family. T-boxes are found upstream of many aminoacyl-tRNA synthetase genes and some amino acid biosynthetic genes usually in Gram-positive bacteria.
Source: RNAcentral